Molecule: ribosomal RNA, 272 nt
Filed under: uncultured bacterium
Lineage: Bacteria
Description: partial 16S ribosomal RNA
Rfam family: Bacterial small subunit ribosomal RNA
Source: RNAcentral
GUCCACGCUGUAAACGAUGGGUACUGGGUGCUGCGGGUCUUGACCCCUGCGGUGCCACAAGCCAACGCGUUAAGUACCCCGCCUGGGAAGUACGGCCGCAAGGUUAAAACUCAAAGGAAUUGACGGGGGCCCGGCACAAGCGGUGGAGCAUGUGGUUUAAUUCGAAGCAACGCGCAGAACCUUACCUAGGCUUGACAUCCAGAGAAUCUGUUGGAAACAACGGAGUGCUGCCUUCGGGUAGAACUUUGAGACAGGUGCUGCAUGGCUGUCGU